UACGUAGGGUGCAAGCGUUGUCCGGAAUUAUUGGGCGUAAAGAGCUCGUAGGCGGUUUGUCGCGUCUGCCGUGAAAGUCCGGGGCUCAACUCCGGAUCUGCGGUGGGUACGGGCAGACUAGAGUGAUGUAGGGGAGACUGGAAUUCCUGGUGUAGCGGUGAAAUGCGCAGAUAUCAGGAGGAACACCGAUGGCGAAGGCAGGUCUCUGGGCAUUAACUGACGCUGAGGAGCGAAAGCAUGGGGAGCGAACAGA
RNAcentral lists this ribosomal RNA (253 nucleotides) under uncultured bacterium. RNAcentral's name for it is "partial 16S ribosomal RNA". It matches the Rfam family "Bacterial small subunit ribosomal RNA", at positions 524 to 776 of the family's 1533-position model. The record is from RNAcentral.